GACGAACGCUGGCGGCGUGCCUAAUACAUGCAAGUCGAGCGAACAGACGAGGAGCUUGCCCCGCGGACGUUAGCGGCGGACGGGAGAGUAACACGUGGAUAACCUACCUAUAAGACGGGGAGAAAAUCGGGAAACCGGAGCUAAAACCGGAUAAGAUAUAGAACCGCAGGGGGCAAUAGUGAAAGACGGUGUUGCGGCCAGCGACAGAUGGAUCCGCGCCGGAUUAGCUGGUUGGUAAGGUAAAGGCUUAGCAAGGCAACGAUGAGGAGCCGACGUGAGAGGGUGAUCGCCCGCCCUGGAGGUUGACCACCCUCCAUGCUCCUGCGAUACGCCGCAGUCGGGUACCUUCCGCAGUGGGCGGGAGCCUUGCGCAACGGCGCCACGUGAGUUAUGACGGUCUUCCGUUCGUAAUACUCUGUUACUGGUGGAGAACCACUUUGUACGUAACUAUGCCCGUCUUGACGGUACCUGCUCAGAAAGCCCCGGCUAACUACGUG
RNAcentral lists this ribosomal RNA (497 nucleotides) under uncultured bacterium. Its description in RNAcentral is "partial 16S ribosomal RNA". It matches the Rfam family "Bacterial small subunit ribosomal RNA", at positions 28 to 507 of the family's 1533-position model. The record is from RNAcentral.